Molecule: long non-coding RNA, 1262 nt
Filed under: Manihot esculenta (cassava)
Lineage: Eukaryota; Viridiplantae; Streptophyta; Magnoliopsida; Malpighiales; Euphorbiaceae
Description: long non-coding RNA (MESC_LNC002711)
Source: RNAcentral
UUUGGGUUCAGAAACUUUGGUGACGCCCUGUUUGAGCGUAUGGAAGGCCUGGUUUAAUCAACCCAAUUAACACCUGGGCUUGGACUGAAAUUAAUUUCUGAUCCAUGGACUAUCAUGUUUGGAAAUGGAAUGUUUCACUUCUGCUGCUCUGAGGCCAUUGCUGCUUCUCCGCUGUUGGCAUGGAAGCUGCCAGUGAAUGGUAAUUCAUUUCUUCGUUUCAUCUUCGAAUUGUUCGUUUUAUUUUGUUCUAGAUUUCUAAUUGAUUAAUUGAUAAUCGAUCAGUUGAUUUUUUAAUCAUUUUGCGAGGCAUUAUACUUUUUUUUUUUUUAUGAAAUUGCAAUUUAGGUUUUUCUUCUUUUAAUAUGAUUUUUAUGUAUUGGAUGGUCUGAGAAAAUGGUGGUGUCGUUUUCAACUGCAAAAUGGAUGAUUUCCACAUUGACUGAAAUGCGAAACCUCUGUAGCUUAUGAUAUUUCAUGUUCGCACUGCAAUGGUUUUUUCCUCUUGCUUGGCAUCGUGUAAAUAAUGGAAUCUAAUGAUUUUUUACCCUCUAGUUUAUGAAUUAUUUAGCUGAAACGCUUUGUGGUGGUGGUUUUUGUGUUUGGGGGGAGGGAGAGCACACGACCUUCAUCCAUGUCCUUGAAACUUCGGUAGCCUGAAUUAAUCUUUCCAAAUCCAAUCUCUGGGUGUUCUGUUAUAGAAUGCUUCUGAAUAUGUAUUCUGCUUUGUUGAGAUCCAAACAUGGUCUUAUGAAUUUGGUUGGAAGAAUGCUAAGUCUUUCAUUUAAACACCACUAUACUUUAAGAGAUGGCAUCCUCUUCCAGCUUAAAUUUUUUAAUAGGUAAAUGUGGGUUGGAAUACUCAGUCACACUCUCUCAACAAGACAGAAAAGACAGCUGAUGAGUCCUAGUUUCGUCACUUGACAGCGCACCGAAAAUGUGGGAGACAAUCUUGGUCCACAAUGCUGAUUUUAUAGCCGACACUAGAGCUUCAGUCAAAGCGCUUUUCAUUAUGAAGAUUCUUAUUGGCCUUGCAAUUAGCAUUAUUAAGAAUUAGAGAUGUAUCAAUCUUGUCCAAGGCUCAUCAAAGAUUGAGAAGAAACCUUUGGAGCAUUAAGUCCUCUACAUUUUAUGACCAUCACAAAACAGUUUCUUUUCUCAAUGUGGAAAGAUAUUUAACUUUUGAUAACUUUUUAGAGUUUGACAAAUGUAAUUCAUAAAUUUAUUUAUUUAUUUAUUUUUGUUUUUUAUUCCCGGUGGCCGUG